UACGAGGGGGGCGAGCGUUGUUCGGAAUCACUGGGCGUAAAGCGCACGUAGGCGGAUGUGCCAGUCAGGGGUGAAAUCCCGGAGCUCAACUUCGGAACUGCCCUUGAUACAGCACGUCUUGAGUCCGAGAGAGGUGGAUGGAAUUCCUAGUGUAGAGGUGAAAUUCGUAGAUAUUAGGAAGAACACCGGUGGCGAAGGCGGUCCACUGGCUCGGUACUGACGCUGAGGUGCGAAAGCGUGGGGAGCAAACAGG
RNAcentral lists this ribosomal RNA (253 nucleotides) under uncultured bacterium. RNAcentral's name for it is "partial 16S ribosomal RNA". It matches the Rfam family "Bacterial small subunit ribosomal RNA", at positions 524 to 776 of the family's 1533-position model. The record is from RNAcentral.